UAGGGAAUCUUCGGCAAUGGGGGGAACCCUGACCGAGCAACGCCGCGUGAGUGAAGAAGGUUUUCGGAUCGUAAAGCUCUGUUGUUAAGGAAGAACGAGUGUGAGAAUGGAAAGUUCAUGCUGUGACGGUACUUAACCAGAAAGGGACGGCUAACUACGUGCCAGCAGCCGCGGUAAUACGUAGGUCCCGAGCGUUGUCCGGAUUUAUUGGGCGUAAAGCGAGCGCAGGCGGUUAGAAAAGUCUGAAGUGAAAGGCAGUGGCUCAACCAUUGUAGGCUUUGGAAACUGUUUAACUUGAGUGCAGAAGGGGAGAGUGGAAUUCCAUGUGUAGCGGUGAAAUGCGUAGAUAUAUGGAGGAACACCGGUGGCGAAAGCGGCUCUCUGGUCUGUAACUGACGCUGAGGCUCGAAAGAGUGGGGAGCGAACAGG
Molecule: ribosomal RNA, 429 nt
Filed under: Verrucomicrobiota bacterium
Lineage: Bacteria; Pseudomonadati; Verrucomicrobiota
Description: Verrucomicrobia bacterium partial 16S ribosomal RNA
Rfam family: Bacterial small subunit ribosomal RNA
Source: RNAcentral